GGGGAUGUAGCUGAGUGGUAAACUACUUGCCUAGCAUGCAUGAGGCCCUGAGUUCAACACCCAGCACCUCG
RNAcentral lists this transfer RNA (71 nucleotides) under Marmota monax (woodchuck). RNAcentral's name for it is "tRNA.Ala". It matches the Rfam family "tRNA". From Rfam's summary of the family: Transfer RNA (tRNA) molecules are approximately 80 nucleotides in length. Their secondary structure includes four short double-helical elements and three loops (D, anti-codon, and T loops). The record is from RNAcentral. Lineage: Eukaryota; Metazoa; Chordata; Mammalia; Rodentia; Sciuridae.